Molecule: transfer RNA, 73 nt
Filed under: Theionarchaea archaeon
Lineage: Archaea; Methanobacteriati; Methanobacteriota; Theionarchaea
Description: tRNA-Arg
Rfam family: tRNA
About the family: Transfer RNA (tRNA) molecules are approximately 80 nucleotides in length. Their secondary structure includes four short double-helical elements and three loops (D, anti-codon, and T loops).
Source: RNAcentral
CGACCUGUAGCCUAGUGGAUAGGGCAACAGCCUCCUAAGCUGUGGGUCGGGGGUUCAAAUCCCCCCAGGUCCG